RNAcentral lists this ribosomal RNA (147 nucleotides) under uncultured Pseudomonadota bacterium. RNAcentral's name for it is "uncultured proteobacterium partial 16S rRNA". It matches the Rfam family "Bacterial small subunit ribosomal RNA", at positions 355 to 494 of the family's 1533-position model. The record is from RNAcentral. Lineage: Bacteria; Pseudomonadati; Pseudomonadota.
UGGGGAAUUUUGGACAAUGGGCGAAAGCCUGAUCCAGCAAUGCCGCGUGCAGGAUGAAGGCCUUCGGGUUGUAAACUGCUUUUGUACGGAACGAAAAAGCUCCUUUUAAUACAGGGGGCCCAUGACGGUACCGUAAGAAUAAGCACC